This 72-nucleotide microRNA precursor is filed under the name Anolis carolinensis (green anole). RNAcentral's name for it is "Aca-Let-7-P2a1_pre stem-loop". It matches the Rfam family "let-7 microRNA precursor family", at positions 7 to 78 of the family's 84-position model. Rfam says of the family: This family represents the microRNAs (miRNA) let-7 and mir-98. let-7 was identified from a study of developmental timing in C. elegans, and was later shown to be part of a much larger class of non-coding RNAs termed miRNAs. The extents of the hairpin precursors are not generally known and are estimated based on hairpin prediction. RNAcentral also lists the same sequence under 2 other names. Lineage: Eukaryota; Metazoa; Chordata; Lepidosauria; Squamata; Anolidae. The record is from RNAcentral.
UGAGGUAGUAGGUUGUAUAGUUUUAGGGUCAUACCCACCACUGGGAGAUAACUAUACAGUCUACUGUCUUUC